Molecule: transfer RNA, 87 nt
Filed under: Gammaproteobacteria bacterium
Lineage: Bacteria; Pseudomonadati; Pseudomonadota; Gammaproteobacteria
Description: tRNA-Leu
Rfam family: tRNA
About the family: Transfer RNA (tRNA) molecules are approximately 80 nucleotides in length. Their secondary structure includes four short double-helical elements and three loops (D, anti-codon, and T loops).
Source: RNAcentral
GCCUGAGUGGCGAAAUUGGUAUACGCGCCAGACUCAAAAUCUGGUGGUGGCAACACCGUGAGAGUUCGAGUCUCUCCUCAGGCACCA